Molecule: non-coding RNA, 454 nt
Organism: Heterocephalus glaber (naked mole-rat)
Lineage: Eukaryota; Metazoa; Chordata; Mammalia; Rodentia; Bathyergidae
Source: RefSeq, a predicted model, not a curated record
UAGUGGAGGGGACAGCUUGAGGUGACUCAGCAGGGACAGUUUGUUCACUCCAGCAGGCUGGCUUUGGGAUGGACUGGGCUGGGCUGGGCUGUGCUGGCCGGCGGGCAGUGGGGAUGGCGAGUUAGGGCCUGUAGGGGGAUAGGCAAGAGAAUCCCUGGCCUUCAUCCGUGGGCAAAGCCAAGCCACCUGAGGGUCCUGGGCCAUAAUAGGUCAACAGUGCAGCCCCAAGGAGAUGUUCCCGCAGCUCCACAUCGAGGGCGCCACUUGCUGCAGGAAUAAGAAACAGAAUAUUUAUCAUCAUCUCCCAGCAACAGCACCAACACCUGAAUAAAGAACUCGUCAGUUUUUCCUGCUCAGCGGCUGGUUUAUCUUAAACUGUCGAAGUUGAUAGCCCAAUCCACUUUUUGAUGUAACUAUGAUGGUUUUAGGAGAUUUAGACAUGAUUUUUUAUAGC